Non-coding RNA from Clostridium sp. CAG:299, 353 nucleotides. It matches the Rfam family "Bacterial RNase P class A". Rfam says of the family: Ribonuclease P (RNase P) is a ubiquitous endoribonuclease, found in archaea, bacteria and eukarya as well as chloroplasts and mitochondria. The record is from Rfam. Lineage: Bacteria; Bacillati; Bacillota; Clostridia; Eubacteriales; Clostridiaceae.
CGAGUAAGACAAAUGGCCGCAGCUGCAUGUGCCGAAAGGCCGCAGGUGAGGAAAGUCCGGGCUUCACAGGGCAGGAUGCCAGAUAACGUCUGGCGGAGGCGACUCCAGGGACAGUGCAACAGAAAUAAACCGCGGGGGCUUUGCUUCCCGUAAGGGUGGAAAGGCAGCGUAAGAGACUACCGCCUGGCUGGUAACAGACAGGGCAUAUGUAAACCCCAUCCGAAGCAAGACCGAACAGAAAGCAUAAGGCGGCCCGUCUGCUUUCGGGUAGGUCGCUAGAGUCUGCCGGCGACGGCAGAAGUGGAUAGAUGGCCAUUCAACGACAUAACCCGGCUUAUCGUUUUGCUCGGAAA